CUUCACGGAAACCCUGACUCAGGGCCAAAUGGCUGAUUAUAUCGUAUGAUGUAACAAGGAGUUAGAAAGCUUAGUGGAGAAUUAGAAUAAUGCGUUUUGUGUGUGCCUGUGAGAAGUGGAGGGGGGGCACAGUGUUUAUUAGAUUAUUUUUUUUUUGCAGCUAUGUUAUUUGCUUGCAAAACUCUUGCAGGCCUUGUUGGAACAGAUGAGGAUUUGGCGUGUGGCAAGGUUUUAGCUGCCGAACUGAACCAAAGGUCGGGAUCUUUUCAGCUCCACCAAGGGCUGGAACAUCGGUGGCCUCGCUGGGGUGUGGAGGGAACGAGCACCGCUGCUGGUAGGAAGGAAAGGAUGAGCAGUGUAACACCUCGGGCGGGGAAGGAAGGAUCUGGCCUGGCCUCUGUCGUCACACGGAGCUAAACGCUUGGGGUGGACGUUUGGGGUUUCGGUGCCGAGGUGGCUGGUGGCAAGGUGCACGGCAGAUUUCUUUUUGCUUGCUCUCCUGGUCCUGCCCGUGAGGAAAGCCAUUAACUGCAAGCGUGAACUCUGAGAUGAGUAAAAAUCAAAGAUGACCCAAGUGCCUGGAGGCAUAAAAACAGCUACUGAAUUGUUCAGCUUGUUUAAUGAAAUGGAGCAGCGCGAAGACACAGUUCACAUACAGAUUUAUGUAUGUGAAUACAACAGCACCGGCGCUCAAACAUUCCACGGAGCUGGCUGCAAAUCCCCAAAUGGGGAAGCCUGGCUGCCGUCAGCUGUUCAGAAGAGAUUUGGGAUAAAAAGCCCCAUCAGAAAACCUGCCCUUGCUGUAGUGCAGCACUGGCAGAAUGGAAAGGAGCCCUGGGCACGCUGCUAAGCCCACGGGUCUGGUGCACAUCGGCAAGGUGCCUGGCCCGCCAGUUCCUGGGGUCUGCCUGCGGUGCUGCUGGCCUGAUUGAGCCUCCCGGUGCUAUCUCGGGCUCGCCGCCUUCUUUCUGCAUCAGAGAGGGGUGCGUGAGCCUCCUGGCGCCGUCCCAGGCUGCCUGACCUUUGCUGUGCUCGGCACUAAUCGUCGUCUUGCCCUGAGUCACGACUUCCUGUAACAUCGGAGGGAAAAUCCCUGUCCCCUGCUGUACCUGCAGGACGGACAGGGCAACGAGCCAGGUCUGCUGCAGUUUGCUUCUGCCUUCAAAAUCCAUGUAUCCAUACAUACACCAGCCUUGGGUGACCUCCCCUUGCUGUCCCAUCAUGGCUCUUCCCAACUCCAGUGGCUCACAGGACAAGAUGAAAUGCCAGCACUGAACUAUAUUUGAAGCUCGUGGCUGUAACACCAGGUUUGAAUGCUGGUGCAGGUCGCUAGGUCCUUAAUUUCCUCCUUAAUGGAUUUUCUAAUGCAUUUGAUGAAUAAAUAGGUGCUCAAUAGCAAGCUGAAAUACCAUUUGCGAUCUUGGACUUGAAACGGCCUUAAUGUUGCCAUUAUUUGUGUUUAUAGCAGUCCUGCGGAGCUCGGGGAGGUGGAGUACGUGCAAAUGUUAAAAUUGUCAAGGCCCAGAGGCGUGCAGCAGCACCAGCCCAGGCUGCUGUCAGAGAAACAACUUGAGUGUGUGCCUGGCUUCAAGAGCAUGAAUGAUCCCAUUGACUUCAGAUUGGCUACGGAUGCGACCGCAGCUGAAUGUACGUUGUUUGCGGGGAAAGAUGAUCCAGAAGGAGCUGGCCGCACAGGAGAGCAGUGGGGGCUGGAAUUGGUGUCGGUCUGCAGGAGAGGGAAGGCAGAAAGGCUGCCCUGGUGGCAAGAGCUGCCAGCGCUUCAUGGGCUCCUGCUUUGUGCAGAUGCUGCGAUCCCCAGCAGCGUCCUGCCUCGAGCUGCCGGGCCCCGGCUGGUCGAGCAAUUUGAGCCUCUCGGUUUACAAGUACCAUGUUCGUGCGGGCAGAGCAAUGCGAUUACAUGUUCGCAUCAAUUUGUGUGAAGUUGGCAGCAUCCUCGGCGAAUGUUUUUGUCCCUCCAGCUUCUAAAUGGCAUCGCUGUUAGCAGCAAUGCAUCAUCGUUAGCAGCGAGACUUGAGAGGAUGCGCGAGCAAAGUGUGAUAUUGCUUCAACCUCUGGAAGUGCGGUGUCAUAACGAAUGAGGCACGGGUUUGUCGCUUGUCCACGUUAUUUGGUAGAGAGCAGUGCAGUGGAGCAGGCUUUUUGUUACACUUCUGUAGUGAGCUGUCCCCUCCGGGGCUGGGACAGCCGCAAGCUCUGCAGUGCUUCCCGCGAGUCUCUGGCUUCGUGCUGCAGCACCAGGUACUGAGAGGUCGGUGCCAGCUCAGAGACACCAAACAUCCAGCCCGAAGCUGCGGUCUCUCAGCCCUCCCUUGCCCAGACGUCACUGAUUUCUGGGUCUCGUCCUGCGGCUGCUUUGAGGGAAGCUGUGCUGGCUGCGGCAUCCCCUCCACUGCUGUGCUUAUGUAUUAAUAAGGGACGGAGCUGGCGGCAGGGCAGGGCAGCAGCAGAACGCAUUUGUCUUGCUGUCCAGCGAGCCACGUAACAAAUAGCAAUGCCAAGUGUAAUCCUGCCUCGGUUAAAACUGUUGCUUUGGUUUGUCAUCAUUCAUUGUUCGGAAUACAGCUGCUUAAUGACAGGAUGUGGGAAAUGAAGUUUAUGUCCUCGUAGGCUUUAAAAUAAAAAUUCCUGAACAAUGGAGGGGAAGGACGCGCUUGCACAGAGCAGCCUGCCUGCGCGCUGAGCCGCAGCCCCGUCGGAGCUCCACAGACAGAGCUUUUGCUCUGCGCUUUAAAAAUAACCUGCUGUGUAAACCGGGGCAGCAUCCGUGCCUCGGCUCUGCUUACGUUACACGGCCGCUGCAGCUGCCUCUGCCCCGCGCCUCGCAGAGCGGGCCCCGUGUUUGAUAGGAAGAAAUGGAAAAUAAAAGACAACUGCCACGUACCUGCACGGGGACGCUGCUUCUUUGCAAGCGCCCCUUGUUCAAUUCGGCUAGCAAACGAUCAGAAGGGGAAGGGAAGGAAUUGGCCAUAAAGACUGGGAGCAAGUGGGACACGGGCAGAGGAGACUUCGUUAAGCAGGCCGUGAUGCAGGGCCCCCGUUGGCGUGCUUGCGGCUCAUCCCUGGCGGCGCAGGACGGCAGGCGGGCGCGUGAUCUUUGCUCCUGGUGGGAACGCUUUCAUCCGGGUACAUGGCCCAUUAGCUCACGACUUGCAGGAGCAUCGAGGCGGUGCGACCUUGUGUUACAGGGCUGCUCGCAGAGCACUUGUUUUACCACAACCCACCUGCUGUCACAGCACCCAUCCCUCUGAGCAGCACAACUCGAGGAAACAACCCUGGUUCGCCCUGAAACUACAGCUCCACAGGACUACUGACCCCGCCUGGGCUCAGCCUGUGGUGGGAAUGUGUUGCUUUCCAGAGUCGGGUCUGUAUCACCUUCUUUCGGUGUCGUUCACUGAUUUUUCUCCUCCACAAUUGUGUGAAACUUGUGUUUUUUAUGAUCUUGAGGCUUGUUUUUUUUUUGGUGGUGGGUGGCUUUAUAAGGCUGCUGGUCCCUUUUCAGGGCAGAAAAGGGAAAUUGCUUGCAUGCAGAAUGGCCAGGACCAGUGGUUUGUGCCCACCGCAGCUCUGUAGGACACAGAAGUUGCCUCUUCCACGCCUCAUAGCACCGUGGUUUCACAGCAGCACUGAACAGGCUCUAAGUGGCAUAGAUCAUGUGAAAUUUCUGAAAAAGCUGCUUCACGGACCUCACAGUUCCUCCACUGUCUGUGAACGAGAGAACGUUCCCCUGGUCGGGCCCUUCCUCUGCUCUUGCCAUUUACUCCAGGCAGCAGAAGUCCUUGGGAUUGAUGCAGCCAACCCUUAGGCUCAGAUCAUUCACUGAACAACCCGUUGUGCUCCAUAACCUGUUCAGCUGCCCUAUGUCACCCAUUCUUGGAAACCUUCGAAAUUGAGAACGUCCCUCCUGCAAGGCUCUGGAAAUCACCCCCAGAAACUGUGUGCCCAGCUGUAUGUUUGGGCAAUGGAAAUGUGAAAUCAUAAGCUCGAUGUGGGAAGUAAUGCUUUUGUGUGAAAUUGUGAGGUGUUCACUGAGCUGGGGCCUUAGUAAAGUUUAAAAAAAAAAGGAACAAAAUUGAAAGGGUAAAAUUAUUAUUUAUAUAUAUUAUUUGUAUACAUUAUUUGUAGAGUGUACAGGACAUAAGAUUUGGGGCAUAAUACUCAGGUAAUCACCCAAUCCAGCACACAGUAACAGUAAAAGCGAAAGCCUGGCACACUGGAGUCGUGACUGAACAUUUGGUGAACAGUAGACCACGGAAACCUUCAGCCAGAUGACUUCAGCUCAGCAUGUUGUUGCUGCUCGGCAGAUGGAUGGGAAGACAGUGUUUGUAAUUUCUGUGGGCCAAACAACGCACACUUGAGGGGUUUUCCCUCCUCCGUUUCUCACACAAACCUCCUGAGCAUCACACCUCCCGUUGCUAUUUCGUGGACUUUUUGCAGCCCCUCCCAUAUCCUUCUUCAGGGUAGGGUGUCCUACACUCCCUGACAUGAGGUCCCUUAUCUUCCCUUUUGCCUUAGGCUAUGUGCAUACUCCCAUUCCCCCUUCCUCCUCCCACUGUUACUGCUUAUCUUUUAACAAGGAAGUAAGUCAUUGUGAGUAUCAGAAGGUUAAACUCCUGAAGCACGGACAGAUCUGAGAUUACCCCAUUGGAAGGUGUUAAUUAGUCCCUUGCCAUUUCUUCCCCCCCAUUUUAAAUUUCUCAACCUUCAGCAAACUUGUCAGGUUUGUCUACAAAUGACAACAGCAUUCUCUGAAAUUUUGAAAUUGGAUAUGGUCUUCAAAAAUAAUUGCAUCUUUUCAACCCAUCUUUUACUUUACCAUCACUGAGAAGAGAAAGUUGCCCACUUGGGCUAUCAGGAAAUAUUGAACUUUGAGGGGUUUGCAGUCACAAAUACACUCCCUGGCUUUCCAGAGAGACUUCAAUUUCCUUGUAUAAUUCAGUCAAUUUCAAGCAAACAGACUGAAGGCUCAGGGCUUUCU
Cygnus olor (mute swan) is the source of this 4996-nucleotide long non-coding RNA. RefSeq lists it as uncharacterized. NCBI's taxonomy places the organism in Eukaryota, Metazoa, Chordata, Aves, Anseriformes, Anatidae. The transcript has 4 exons. The record is from RefSeq and is a predicted model, not a curated record.